GCUUAACGCGAAGAACCUUACCUACUCUUGACAUCCAGAGAACUUAGCAGAGAUGCUUUGGUGCCUUCGGGAACUCUGAGACAGGUGCUGCAUGGCUGUCGUCAGCUCGUGUUGUGAAAUGUUGGGUUAAGUCCCGCAACGAGCGCAACCCUUAUCCUUUGUUGCCAGCGGUUCGGCCGGAAACUCAAAGGAGACUGCCAGUGAUAAACUGGAGGAAGGUGGGGAUGACGUCAAGUCAUCAUGGCCCUUACGAGUAGGGCUACACACGUGCUACAAUGGCGUAUACAAAGAGAAGCGACCUCGCGAGAGCAAGCGGACCUCAUAAAGUACGUCGUAGUCCGGAUUGGAGUCUGCAACUCGACUCCAUGAAGUCGGAAUCGCUAGUAAUCGUAGAUCAG
RNAcentral lists this ribosomal RNA (398 nucleotides) under uncultured bacterium. RNAcentral's name for it is "bacterial SSU rRNA". It matches the Rfam family "Bacterial small subunit ribosomal RNA", at positions 954 to 1352 of the family's 1533-position model. The record is from RNAcentral.